RNAcentral lists this long non-coding RNA (572 nucleotides) under Equus caballus (horse). RNAcentral's name for it is "lncRNA (ENSECAG00000028271.2)". The record is from RNAcentral. Lineage: Eukaryota; Metazoa; Chordata; Mammalia; Perissodactyla; Equidae.
AUUACUGAAAGCCCAGGGACAUGGACUGGUUUUAGAGCCAAUGGGAAUGUUGAUCCAGAAGAAGACAGUCUACAGGGAGAAGUAAAAAUGAAGUAAAGAGAUCAGUAGUCUCAGAUCUGCCUUUCUUUCCACCACUCAGUUUCUUCCUACAGCUCAGGAUGCUGGUUGAGGCUCCACAGCACCCUCUUGAAGACCUACAGCACCUUCUCAAGGAUCCACGGCCCCCUCUGGAGGCUCUGUUGCACCCUUUUGGGGAUCUAUAGCACCGUCUUGCCACUUUUCCUGGCUCCCCAGGGCUUCCUCCCAGUGCCUAUUCUCUGCUCUCUUUGCUGGCUUCCAACUGCCAUUAAUUCUAAUACAUGCCCUUCCCUAACAUGUUUACCUGGGGAAGAAUCUAAGUAAUUAAUUCUCACUAGGUAUUACUGAUUAAUUUAUUAGAAUCCUAAAAAGUUGUGCAUUUUAACAGGAAUUCCCUUCACCCAAAGGGUUGUUAGAGGUGGGACGGACCUUAAAAGUAAAAGCGAUUGAAGCCAAGUCUCUCCUCCUCCCUCCACACUUCAUUUGUAAGCUAC